CCGUUAGCCUUCGGUAGUGGGGAAGGUAAACAACGCUGGAAACGAAGCUGCUAAUAACCGCCAUGAUGCAGUUGAGUCGCAUGGCUCUGACUGCCAAAGAUUUAUCGCUCUGAGAUGGACUCGCGUCUGAUUAGCUAGUUGGUGGGGCAACGGCCCACCAAGGCGACGAUCAGUAGCCGGACUGAGAGGUUGGCCGGCCACAUUGGGACUGAGACACGGCCCAGACUCCUACGGGAGGCAGCAG
Molecule: ribosomal RNA, 244 nt
Filed under: uncultured bacterium
Lineage: Bacteria
Description: partial 16S ribosomal RNA
Rfam family: Bacterial small subunit ribosomal RNA
Source: RNAcentral